Molecule: ribosomal RNA, 495 nt
Filed under: uncultured bacterium
Lineage: Bacteria
Description: bacterial SSU rRNA
Rfam family: Bacterial small subunit ribosomal RNA
Source: RNAcentral
GAUGAACGCUAGCUACAGGCUUAACACAUGCAAGUCGAGGGGCAGCGGGAUUGAAGCUUGCUUCAAUUGCCGGCGACCGGCGCACGGGUGAGUAACGCGUAUCCAACCUUCCGUACACUCAGGGAUAGCCUUUCGAAAGAAAGAUUAAUACCUGAUGGUAUGAUGAGAUUGCAUGAUAGCAUCAUUAAAGAUUUAUCGGUGUACGAUGGGGAUGCGUUCCAUUAGGUAGUAGGCGGGGUAACGGCCCACCUAGCCAACGAUGGAUAGGGGUUCUGAGAGGAAGGUCCCCCACAUUGGAACUGAGACACGGUCCAAACUCCUACGGGAGGCAGCAGUGAGGAAUAUUGGUCAAUGGACGAGAGUCUGAACCAGCCAAGUAGCGUGAAGGAUGAAGGUCCUACGGAUUGUAAACUUCUUUUAUAAGGGAAUAAACCCUCCACGUGUGGGAGCUUGUAUGUACCUUAUGAAUAAGCAUCGGCUAACUCCGUGCCAGCA